UCCAAAUACAAAGCAGCUGGAUCUGGUGAC
Molecule: non-coding RNA, 30 nt
Filed under: Homo sapiens (human)
Lineage: Eukaryota; Metazoa; Chordata; Mammalia; Primates; Hominidae
Source: RNAcentral